GGGUUGUGAGGUUAAGCGACUAAGCGUACACGGUGGAUGCCCUGGCAGUCAGAGGCGAUGAAGGACGUGCUAAUCUGCGAUAAGCGUCGGUAAGGUGAUAUGAACCGUUAUAACCGGCGAUUUCCGAAUGGGGAAACCCAGUGUGUUUCGACACACUAUCAUUAACUGAAUCCAUAGGUUAAUGAGGCGAACCGGGGGAACUGAAACAUCUAAGUACCCCGAGGAAAAGAAAUCAACCGAGAUUCCCCCAGUAGCGGCGAGCGAACGGGGAGCAGCCCAGAGCCUGAAUCAGUAUGUGUGUUAGUGGAAGCGUCUGGAAAGGCGCGCGAUACAGGGUGACAGCCCCGUACACAAAAAUGCACAUAUUGUGAGCUCGAUGAGUAGGGCGGGACACGUGGUAUCCUGUCUGAAUAUGGGGGGACCAUCCUCCAAGGCUAAAUACUCCUGACUGACCGAUAGUGAACCAGUACCGUGAGGGAAAGGCGAAAAGAACCCCGGCGAGGGGAGUGAAAAAGAACCUGAAACCGUGUACGUACAAGCAGUGGGAGCACGCUUAGGCGUGUGACUGCGUACCUUUUGUAUAAUGGGUCAGCGACUUAUAUUCUGUAGCAAGGUUAACCGAAUAGGGGAGCCGAAGGGAAACCGAGUCUUAACUGGGCGUUAAGUUGCAGGGUAUAGACCCGAAACCCGGUGAUCUAGCCAUGGGCAGGUUGAAGGUUGGGUAACACUAACUGGAGGACCGAACCGACUAAUGUUGAAAAAUUAGCGGAUGACUUGUGGCUGGGGGUGAAAGGCCAAUCAAACCGGGAGAUAGCUGGUUCUCCCCGAAAGCUAUUUAGGUAGCGCCUCGUGAAUUCAUCUCCGGGGGUAGAGCACUGUUUCGGCAAGGGGGUCAUCCCGACUUACCAACCCGAUGCAAACUGCGAAUACCGGAGAAUGUUAUCACGGGAGACACACGGCGGGUGCUAACGUCCGUCGUGAAGAGGGAAACAACCCAGACCGCCAGCUAAGGUCCCAAAGUCAUGGUUAAGUGGGAAACGAUGUGGGAAGGCCCAGACAGCCAGGAUGUUGGCUUAGAAGCAGCCAUCAUUUAAAGAAAGCGUAAUAGCUCACUGGUCGAGUCGGCCUGCGCGGAAGAUGUAACGGGGCUAAACCAUGCACCGAAGCUGCGGCAGCGACGCUUAUGCGUUGUUGGGUAGGGGAGCGUUCUGUAAGCCUGCGAAGGUGUGCUGUGAGGCAUGCUGGAGGUAUCAGAAGUGCGAAUGCUGACAUAAGUAACGAUAAAGCGGGUGAAAAGCCCGCUCGCCGGAAGACCAAGGGUUCCUGUCCAACGUUAAUCGGGGCAGGGUGAGUCGACCCCUAAGGCGAGGCCGAAAGGCGUAGUCGAUGGGAAACAGGUUAAUAUUCCUGUACUUGGUGUUACUGCGAAGGGGGGACGGAGAAGGCUAUGUUGGCCGGGCGACGGUUGUCCCGGUUUAAGCGUGUAGGCUGGUUUUCCAGGCAAAUCCGGAAAAUCAAGGCUGAGGCGUGAUGACGAGGCACUACGGUGCUGAAGCAACAAAUGCCCUGCUUCCAGGAAAAGCCUCUAAGCAUCAGGUAACAUCAAAUCGUACCCCAAACCGACACAGGUGGUCAGGUAGAGAAUACCAAGGCGCUUGAGAGAACUCGGGUGAAGGAACUAGGCAAAAUGGUGCCGUAACUUCGGGAGAAGGCACGCUGAUAUGUAGGUGAAGUCCCUCGCGGAUGGAGCUGAAAUCAGUCGAAGAUACCAGCUGGCUGCAACUGUUUAUUAAAAACACAGCACUGUGCAAACACGAAAGUGGACGUAUACGGUGUGACGCCUGCCCGGUGCCGGAAGGUUAAUUGAUGGGGUUAGCCGCAAGGCGAAGCUCUUGAUCGAAGCCCCGGUAAACGGCGGCCGUAACUAUAACGGUCCUAAGGUAGCGAAAUUCCUUGUCGGGUAAGUUCCGACCUGCACGAAUGGCGUAAUGAUGGCCAGGCUGUCUCCACCCGAGACUCAGUGAAAUUGAACUCGCUGUGAAGAUGCAGUGUACCCGCGGCAAGACGGAAAGACCCCGUGAACCUUUACUAUAGCUUGACACUGAACAUUGAGCCUUGAUGUGUAGGAUAGGUGGGAGGCUUAGAAGUGUGGACGCCAGUCUGCAUGGAGCCGACCUUGAAAUACCACCCUUUAAUGUUUGAUGUUCUAACGUUGACCCGUAAUCCGGGUUGCGGACAGUGUCUGGUGGGUAGUUUGACUGGGGCGGUCUCCUCCUAAAGAGUAACGGAGGAGCACGAAGGUUGGCUAAUCCUGGUCGGACAUCAGGAGGUUAGUGCAAUGGCAUAAGCCAGCUUGACUGCGAGCGUGACGGCGCGAGCAGGUGCGAAAGCAGGUCAUAGUGAUCCGGUGGUUCUGAAUGGAAGGGCCAUCGCUCAACGGAUAAAAGGUACUCCGGGGAUAACAGGCUGAUACCGCCCAAGAGUUCAUAUCGACGGCGGUGUUUGGCACCUCGAUGUCGGCUCAUCACAUCCUGGGGCUGAAGUAGGUCCCAAGGGUAUGGCUGUUCGCCAUUUAAAGUGGUACGCGAGCUGGGUUUAGAACGUCGUGAGACAGUUCGGUCCCUAUCUGCCGUGGGCGCUGGAGAACUGAGGGGGGCUGCUCCUAGUACGAGAGGACCGGAGUGGACGCAUCACUGGUGUUCGGGUUGUCAUGCCAAUGGCACUGCCCGGUAGCUAAAUGCGGAAGAGAUAAGUGCUGAAAGCAUCUAAGCACGAAACUUGCCCCGAGAUGAGUUCUCCCUGACUCCUUGAGAGUCCUGAAGGAACGUUGAAGACGACGACGUUGAUAGGCCGGGUGUGUAAGCGCAGCGAUGCGUUGAGCUAACCGGUACUAAUGAACCGUGAGGCUUAACCUUACAACGCCGAAGGUGUUU
This 2933-nucleotide ribosomal RNA is filed under the name Escherichia coli. Its description in RNAcentral is "bacterial LSU rRNA". It matches the Rfam family "Bacterial large subunit ribosomal RNA". Lineage: Bacteria; Pseudomonadati; Pseudomonadota; Gammaproteobacteria; Enterobacterales; Enterobacteriaceae. The record is from RNAcentral.